CCACCCCAACCCCCCGCUUCCCCCUUCCGCUAGGCGGGGGACAGAGAGGCACAGGCCCAGGGAGCAGGGACUGACUUCCUCUUGUCCCAGAAUGAGCAUGCCUGCCCUUUGCGAGCAGGUUUGGGGCUCUCACGAAGAGGAAACCAAAACCAGUGAGAGAGCGAGAAGGCGGAGCGACCGAUCAAGGGCAGGGUGAGGUGCAAAACCGGCCGGCUCCCCGGGGAGCCCGGCAGAGGCGGGGGCCAUGGCGGAGCUGCAGCAGCUGCAGGAGUUUGAGAUCCCCACGGCCCGGGAGGCUCUGCGGGGCAACCACAGCGCCCUGCUGCGGGUCGCGGACUACUGCGAGGACAACUACGUGCAGGCCACAGACAAGCGGAAGGCGCUGGAGGAGACCAUGGCCUUCGCCACCCAGGCCCUGGCCAGUGUGGCCUACCAGGUGGGCAACCUGGCUGGAAACACUCUGCGUAUGUUGGACCUUCAGGCGGCUGCCCUGCGGCAAGUGGAAGCCCGAGUGAGCACACUGGGCCUGAUGGUGAACAUGCAUAUGGAGAAGGUGGCCCGAAGGGAGAUCGGUACUUUAGCCACCGUCCAGCGGCUGCCCCCCAGCCAGAAAAUCAUCGCCCCCGAGAGCCUACCUCCCCUGACGCCCUACUACAGGAAACCCCUCAACUUUGGUUGCCUCGAUGACAUUGGCCAUGGGAUCAAGGAUUCGAGCACGCAGCUGUCUCGGACCGGGACCCUGUCUCGAAAGAGCAUCAAGGCGCCUGCCGCACCCGCCUCCGCCACCCUCGGGAGAGCGCCCCGGAUCCCCGAGCCGGUGCAGCCCCGUGGUGCCCAACGGCAAGCUCUCCGCCGCCUCCUCUGCCUCCUCCCUGGUCUCGGCCGGCAGCGCUGAAGGGGUCGGUGGUGUCUCCGCGAUGAAGGGGCAAGCAGCACCCCCGCCCCUCCACCUGCUGCCUCCGACGUCUUCCUGCUGCCCCCUCCACUGGAGGAACUGUCCCUGCCCCCGCCAGGUAAGGAGCUCCGCCCUCUCCUCCUAGCUCAACUUUGGGGUCGUUGCCUCACCCCAACACUUCUCCCCACCCCUUGGAUCCAGCUGGGCCUCUCCGUGGAUGCUUUGUAACAGGCGUAAGGGGAAGGGGAAGCGAACGUAGUUGAGCGCACCUGC
This is an RNA transcript of Phacochoerus africanus (Common warthog), 1168 nucleotides long. It is a transcript of the gene named ABI gene family member 3-like, with no coding region annotated. The transcript is spliced from 6 exons. The record is from RefSeq and is a predicted model, not a curated record. NCBI's taxonomy places the organism in Eukaryota, Metazoa, Chordata, Mammalia, Artiodactyla, Suidae.